CGUGCUUGCUCCCGGAUGUUAGCGGCGGACGGGUGAGUAACACGUGGGUAACCUGCCUGUAAGACUGGGAUAACUCCGGGAAACCGGAGCUAAUACCGGAUAGUUCCUUGAACCGCAUGGUUCAAGGAUGAAAGACGGUUUCGGCUGUCACUUACAGAUGGACCCGCGGCGCAUUAGCUAGUUGGUGGGGUAAUGGCUCACCAAGGCGACGAUGCGUAGCCGACCUGAGAGGGUGAUCGGCCACACUGGGACUGAGACACGGCCCAGACUCCUACGGGAGGCAGCAGUAGGGAAUCUUCCGCAAUGGACGAAAGUCUGACGGAGCAACGCCGCGUGAGUGAUGAAGGUUUUCGGAUCGUAAAGCUCUGUUGUUAGGGAAGAACAAGUGCGAGAGUAACUGCUCGCACCUUGACGGUACCUAACCAGAAAGCCACGGCUAACUACGUGCCAGCAGCCGCGGUAAUACGUAGGUGGCAAGCGUUGUCCGGAAUUAUUGGGCGUAAAGGGCUCGCAGGCGGUUUCUUAAGUCUGAUGUGAAAGCCCCCGGCUCAACCGGGGAGGGUCAUUGGAAACUGGGAAACUUGAGUGCAGAAGAGGAGAGUGGAAUUCCACGUGUAGCGGUGAAAUGCGUAGAGAUGUGGAGGAACACCAGUGGCGAAGGCGACUCUCUGGUCUGUAACUGACGCUGAGGAGCGAAAGCGUGGGGAGCGAACAGGAUUAGAUACCCUGGUAGUCCACGCCGUAAACGAUGAGUGCUAAGUGUUAGGGGGGUUUCCGCCCCUUAG
Molecule: ribosomal RNA, 785 nt
Filed under: Bacillus sp. (in: firmicutes)
Lineage: Bacteria; Bacillati; Bacillota; Bacilli; Caryophanales; Bacillaceae
Description: bacterial SSU rRNA
Rfam family: Bacterial small subunit ribosomal RNA
Source: RNAcentral